UACGGAGGGUGUGAGCGUUGUCCGGAAUCACUGGGCGUAAAGGGCGCGUAGGCGGCCCGGGCAGUCCGUGGUGAAAGCUCAGCGCUCAACGCUGAGUCGGCCACGGAUACUCUUGGGCUGGAGCACACUAGAGGCGGAUGGAAUUCCGGGUGUAGCGGUGGAAUGCGUAGAGAUCCGGAAGAACACCGGUGGCGAAGGCGGUCCGCUGGGGUGUUGCUGACGCUGAGGCGCGACAGCGUGGGGAGCAAACAGG
This 253-nucleotide ribosomal RNA is filed under the name uncultured bacterium. RNAcentral's name for it is "partial 16S ribosomal RNA". It matches the Rfam family "Bacterial small subunit ribosomal RNA", at positions 524 to 776 of the family's 1533-position model. The record is from RNAcentral.